Long non-coding RNA from Cotesia glomerata, 844 nucleotides. RefSeq lists it as uncharacterized. Lineage: Eukaryota; Metazoa; Arthropoda; Insecta; Hymenoptera; Braconidae. The transcript is spliced from 3 exons. The record is from RefSeq and is a predicted model, not a curated record.
UGCGAUUAAGGUGGAGGUGGCGGUACCAGUAGCAGUAGCAGCAGCAACCGACGAAGCCUCGUGAAAAAAGGUUAAACUCGUUUUCGUUUUCGUCGCUAAUUAGACUCGUUAAGCGCCACGGUGUAGCCAUAAUCGGGCAACUUCAGAGUCUCAUGGUGAACCAAUGCCUCCUAGCUUAGUUCCUCCCCGUCGUCCAGUCUUAAAAGGUGCCUUUUCGUGAACACUCUCACUAAAUGAUCGCAUCCCUGGUCUCUCAUAUCAGCUAGAUGCUUCAUUUCUAUCAACUAUCAAGCUUACAAUUAACUAAAUUCUUUAGAAUUUAUUGUGGUGACUAUGGACUAUGGAUUGAUGAUUAGACAGUGACAGUGAUGUGAAAAAUCGCCCUUAGAGGCUAGGUGAAGACAGAAGACACGGGUACUUAGUACUAAAGCCAACCGGGAUUUUUGUUGGUUGAAAAGAAUGGAUUGAUGUCCCACGAUGAUUCUUCGGGGUAUCAAGCACUGAGCUCCGUAGCCUCGGCCCGGAUAAAACACUCAGUGGGCGGCCAUAUUGAAUCGUGAUAGGGACCCGCAAUUAAGCCCGAGUAGGCCACCCGGACGAAUGUUAAGAUAAGCUCCAGCGCAAGUGGUUAACAUUGGCUCUGGAAGAUGGCGCUCUAGUCUGGUCUACUCAGCUGAUGAUCGACUCCUGAUGGCUGAGAUUGGAUAGGCCUAAAUAUUGCCGUCUCUUGAGAAGCAAGUAAGCUCAGCAGCCAAGGGAACCCGGCAAUGACAGCACCUCAGACAUCCGCAGUGCCAAGCGCGGUCGGCUGCCCUGAGAUACCAUCUUUCCGCGAUGUCUCUUC